UUAUUGAUUCAUUAUUAACACUUUAUUAAUGCUUUAUUAAUGCUUGCCGGCAUAUAUAUUGAAAUAUCCUCAAGUAAUUGUUUGCAAAACAUUGAAACAGUGGAAGAGUAUUUAUACUACACAUACAGUGAAACAAAAUGAGUUGCCCAUGGGGGGAGAAAAUUCUAAUAAUUUUGUCCAGAGACAGGCUUGUCAAAAACACUCUAGUCCUCUCCAGAAGAUAGAAUAAACAUUUUUGGACCAGUACAUUGGUGUGAAAACACUUCUAAACAUAACCAACAUUUUCAGACAUAGUGACAGGAGCAAUUAUGAUUAUCAACCUUGCUUAAGUACAAAAUUACAAAUGUUUCCUGGCUUGAGAUUUCAACUAAUAGGCUAUCUGGUUACUGGUCUGGUUACUGGCCAGAUGUUCUAAUCACUAGCCAGUGUGGUUACUGAUUAAAUACUCUAACCCACAGGCAAUCUGGUUACUGGUCAGAUAGGCUGCGAGUUAAAGUAUCUAGUUACUGGUCAGAAAGGCUGUGAAUUAAAGUAUCUAGUUACUGGUCAGAUGUUUUGCCACUGAGACUUUCAAAAAUAGAUAUGGUGAACCUGAUUAAACAAAUAAUACAAAAUUAAUUGUCCAUUCUUAAUUGAUCAAAUUGACUCAACAUCCAAUGUAUUUUUGAAAAGGGUGUAGACCUCUACAUUAACCAGCCAGAUUAAAGAUUAAAGUAACAUUUUCGAAAGAUAAAGUGCACGAUUUCUGGCAACAGGUUGUCAAAUUGCCACUGUCGAGCCAAGAAUUGUCCGUGAACAUUUUCUACUAUUGUCAUGUACUUGCUGAUUUGUGCCCCAUGUCAUCAAGAUCAUUUCAAACUUGGAAUGUAAAAGCUAACUGAGGCAUGGUAGGAAUUCUUCUACAAAUUACACACAUAUAAACAACAUAUUACAUGCUUUUUGUUAAUCGCAAAACUCCCAGACUGAAUCUUAAGGGGAGGGUCUGUAACCUUCUCACUUAUAUUUAUUCACAAUAUUUUGAUGAUCCUUAACCAUGGUGUCAUCUAUAAAAGGUUUUUUAAGUAUUCAGAAACAUCUUCAGUGUUCAGUGAUUCCAAAAUGGCAAAAUAAAUGUUUCAACAUUCAGUUCAGCUUGAUAUCGUAAUUGCACAAAACAAAUAUGGGACAAACAUAGGACUAAUCGUAUUUAGCUGAUUCAUUUAGAGAUUCAAACACUAUGCAGGACAGUUGUUUUUUAUUCAACAUUUAUAUGAAAUACAGAAAAUAACAUAUUCAACUAAGAAAUUCCGAAAAUGGUAUUCUCUAAAUUUCUCUUAAAACUGUACCCCAUUUCAGCCACACAAAACAAAUCUAGAUUUAUGGCAUUUGUAAAUGAGCUAGUGACAGCAUUUUCUAGAUCUUACACAAUGUUAUAGCUAAACCUUCCUUACGUAGGGAAGACGAGCUUUACAGAAAACAUCCCUGUUCAAAGUGUGAACUGGCGGUGCAGCUCACCCCCCUCCCCGCCCUCUCAGGCCAGGCCGCCUCCGUGUUUGCUCAUCUAAUUACAGGGGAGUGGCUGACUGACGGGCCAGCCGUCCCAAAAAAACCCUCCAGGCUAGGGGCUGGGAACGCAACAAACACCCACCCAGCACUGUCUCCAAAAUGUGACGGCAGCAACGUCCAACUGUCAUGGGGGAGCCUUGACUGGCAAAACGCGAAGGCCCAAAGAGAGAUAUUAAAGACAUGAGAGGAAUUGGCAGCGUCGGCACUAACAGGGGGUACACUUGAGAAGUCGAAGCAGGGAGCUGUGGGCAUCGCCAAAGUGUCAGUCAAAGGAAAGUGGGGUUUGGAAAAGGCACAAACACAGACUGACUCACACAGGAGCACUUUUCUCUUUCACUCUCCUAAAAGACAAUAUAUUCAGAAAGGGUAGAGAAGGAAAACCAACAAGGAAAUAGUUUACUGUUAUUGUAUUUCAGACCACAAAGUAUAAAGAUAAGAAGUGUGUCAGUGAGUGUUUGUGUGUGUGUGUGUGUGUGUGUGUGUGUGUGUGUGAGUGUGUGCUCACCUUUCUCACAGGGAGGUAUAAUCCACUGGGGGUUUAAAUGCUCCACUGCUGUCAGGAGGCCUGACAGAAUACCUCAGGGAGCCUGGUAGCUGACCCCCAUCCAUAUUCAGGUCUGACAAACAAAACAGACCUGCACAGGAGGUUAACAUGGAAAAACCACCACUUAACUGGCUCUCUCUCCCAAGGCCUGAGAUCUCAUCAAUCCCUCUAACACUCACCUCACCCUGAGAGGCAAGACAAGAAACCAUUUGAUAGGAAUCAUGAAUAAUCACAGUUGUGCAAGCGCGCUGUGCCCAUUUCUUAAAUGCAUUAUGGGGAUUACACACAAAAUCACACAAUGUAACAUUUUCAAAUGUGUUAUGAAUGCUUCCCGGAAUCCAAUUCAAAUCCUAGGUUACCAAAUAAGCCUGAACAAAUCCUCCACAUUGAGUUUUUACUCCUUUGAACUCUGUAACGGAGAGGUCCAGUCUGCAGGGCAGGUUUUACCAUGCCAGGCACAGACAGACCCCUCAACCCCAGGAUAGAGAUUGGGCUAGCCUAACACUGGGAGGGUGGGGGAGAGAGAGGGCUAGCCUAACACUGGGAGGGUGGGGGAGAGAGAGGGCUUGCCUAACAGUUGGAGGAUGGGGGAGAGAGAGGACUAGCCUAACACUGGGAGGGUGGGGGAGAGAGAGGUCUAGCUUAGCACUGGGAGGGUGGGGGAGAGAGAGGUCUAGUCUAACACUGGGAGGGUGGGGGAGAGAGAGGUCUAGCUUAGCACUGGGAGGGUGGGGGUGAGAGAGGUCUAGCCUAACACUGGGAGGGUGGGGGAGAGAGAGGUCUAGCCUAACACUAGGAGGGUGGGGGAGAGAGGUCUAGCCUAACACUGGGAGGGUGGGGGAGAGAGAGGUCUAACCUAGCACUGGGAGGGUGGGGGGGAG
Molecule: long non-coding RNA, 2970 nt
Organism: Esox lucius (northern pike)
Lineage: Eukaryota; Metazoa; Chordata; Actinopteri; Esociformes; Esocidae
Source: Ensembl